RNAcentral lists this ribosomal RNA (424 nucleotides) under Micronecta quadristrigata. Its description in RNAcentral is "partial large subunit ribosomal RNA". It matches the Rfam family "Bacterial large subunit ribosomal RNA", at positions 1837 to 2523 of the family's 2925-position model. Lineage: Eukaryota; Metazoa; Arthropoda; Insecta; Hemiptera; Micronectidae. The record is from RNAcentral.
GGAUGCUUAUUUUACGUCUGACCUGCCCGGUGAUUUAUUUAACGGCCGCGGUAUUUUGACCGUGCAAAGGUAGCAUAAUCAUUUGUCUUUUAAUUGGAGGCUGGAAUGAAUGGUUUGACGAGGGAGCGUCUUUAUUAUUAUAAAUUCAAAAACUUAACUUUUGAGUCAAAAGGCUUAAAUUUUUUUAUGGGACGAGAAGACCCUAUAGAGCUUUACUUUACUUUUAUUAUAUAUAUCUUUGAUUUUUUUAUAUUUAUAUUAAGAUAUAAGUUAAAUUGGGGCGAUUUUGAGGAUUUUUUAACCCUCAAUUAUUUAUUUCACUAAUGAGUGUUUUGAUCCAUUAUUAAUGAUUAUAAGAUUAAGCUACCUUAGGGAUAACAGCGUAAUUUAUUUGGAGAGUUCUUAUCGAUAAAUAAGAUUGCGA